Danionella cerebrum is the source of this 70-nucleotide non-coding RNA. Lineage: Eukaryota; Metazoa; Chordata; Actinopteri; Cypriniformes; Danionidae. The record is from the annotation of a GenBank genome assembly.
UUUCCUGUGGCUCAGCUAGUAGAGCAUUGCGCUAACAACGUGAAGGUCGCAGGUUCAAAUGUCAGGGAAA